GGGCGCGUAGCUCAGUGGUAGUAGCUCCUAGCUUAUAUCUAGGCGGUCGGGGGUUCGAAUCCCUCCGCGCCCA
This 73-nucleotide transfer RNA is filed under the name Patescibacteria group bacterium. Its description in RNAcentral is "tRNA-Ile". It matches the Rfam family "tRNA". From Rfam's summary of the family: Transfer RNA (tRNA) molecules are approximately 80 nucleotides in length. Their secondary structure includes four short double-helical elements and three loops (D, anti-codon, and T loops). RNAcentral also lists the same sequence under 1 other name. The record is from RNAcentral.